RNAcentral lists this ribosomal RNA (485 nucleotides) under uncultured bacterium. Its description in RNAcentral is "partial 16S ribosomal RNA". It matches the Rfam family "Bacterial small subunit ribosomal RNA", at positions 28 to 507 of the family's 1533-position model. The record is from RNAcentral.
GAUGAACGCUGGCGGCGUGCUUAACACAUGCAAGUCGAACGGGAUCCAAGGGGUGCUUGCCCUUUUUGGUGAGAGUGGCGAACGGGUGAGUAACACGUGAGUAACCUGUCCUUUUCUUUGGGAUAAGCAUUCGAAAGGGUGUUUAAUACCUUAUGUUCUGUCUGCCUCGCAUGGGGUGGGUGGGAAAGGCUUUGGCCGGAUUUGGGUGGGCUCGCGGUCUAUCAGCUUGUUGGUGGGGUGAUGGCUUACCAAGGCUUUGACGGGUAGCCGGCCUGAGAGGGUGGGCGGUCACAUUGGGACUGAGAAACGGCCCAGACUCCUGCGGGAGGCAGCAGUGGGGGAUAUUGCACAAUGGGCGAAAGCCUGAUGCAGCGACGCCGCGUGGGGGAUGAAGGCCUGCGGGUUGUAAACUUCUGUUGCUCUGAACAAGGCAUGCCAGUGGGUGUGUGGAGUGUAGGGGUUGAUUAGCGCCGGCUAACUACGUG